GUGCCCGCUUUGGCAGCACAUUCACUAAAACUGGAACAAUAGAGAGAAAUUAGCGCGGCGCGGCCCUGUGCAAGGACGACAUGCAAAUUCAUGAAGUGUUCCUUAUUUUU
This 110-nucleotide small nuclear RNA is filed under the name Cavia aperea (Brazilian guinea pig). Lineage: Eukaryota; Metazoa; Chordata; Mammalia; Rodentia; Caviidae. The record is from RNAcentral.